Molecule: ribosomal RNA, 266 nt
Filed under: uncultured bacterium
Lineage: Bacteria
Description: partial 16S ribosomal RNA
Rfam family: Bacterial small subunit ribosomal RNA
Source: RNAcentral
CGGUACAACGAGAAGCGAACCUGCGAAGGCAAGCGGAUCUCUUAAAGCCGUUCUCAGUUCGGACUGUAGGCUGCAACUCGCCUACACGAAGCUGGAAUCGCUAGUAAUCGCGGAUCAGCACGCCGCGGUGAAUACGUUCCCGGGCCUUGUACACACCGCCCGUCACACCAUGGGAGCCGGAAACGCCCGAAGCCAGUGGCCUGACCGUAAGGAGGGAGCUGUCGAAGGCGGGUCCGGUGACCGGGGUGAAGUCGUAACAAGGUAAC